AGUCGAACGAACGAGGAUUGGAUUUAUUCGAUCCAAGUUAGUGGCGGACGGGUGAGUAACACGUGAGCAAUCUACCUUUAGGAGGGGGAUACCGAUUGGAAACGAUCGUUAAUACCGCAUAACAUAGAGGUAUCGCAUGAUAUUUUUAUCAAAGAUUUAUCGCCUAAAGAUGAGCUCGCGUCUGAUUAGCUAGUUGGUGAGGUAACGGCCCACCAAGGCGACGAUCAGUAGCCGGACUGAGAGGUUGAACGGCCACAUUGGGACUGAGACACGGCCCAGACUCCUACGGGAGGCAGCAGUGGGGAAUAUUGCACAAUGGGCGCAAGCCUGAUGCAGCAAUGCCGCGUGAGGGAAGAAGGUUUUCGGAUUGUAAACCUCUGUUGACAGGGAAGAUAAUGACUGUACCUGUUCAGAAAGCUCCGGCUAACUACGUGCCAGCAGCCGCGGUAAUACGUAGGGAGCGAGCGUUGUCCGGAAUUACUGGGUGUAAAGGGAGUGCAGGCGGGACUGCAAGUCAGAUGUGAAAUGUAGGGGCUCAACCCCUGAGCUGCAUUUGAACACUGUAGUUCUUGAGUGAAGUAGAGGUAAGCGGAAUUCCUAGUGUAGCGGUGAAAUGCGUAGAUAUUAGGAGGAACAUCAGUGGCGAAGGCGGCUUACUGGGCCUUUAAACUGACGCUGGAAGGCUCGAAAGCGUGGGGGAGCAAACAGGGAUUUAGAUACCCUGGUAGUCCACGCCGUUAAACGAUGAUUACUAAGGUGUGGGGGGGACUGACCCCUUCCGUGCCGCAGUUAACACAAUAAGUAAUCCACCUGGGGAGUACGGUCGCAAGACUGAAACUCAAAGGAAUUGACGGGGGCCCGCACAAGCAGUGGAGUAUGUGGAUUAAUUCGACGCAACGCGAAGAACCUUACCAAGUCUUGACAUCUUGAGCAUAGCAUAGAGAUAUGUGAAAUCCCUUCGGGGACUCAGAGACAGGUGGUGCAUGGUUGUCGUCAGCUCGUGUCGUGAGAUGUUGGGUUAAGUCCCGCAACGAGCGCAACCCUUACUGUUAGUUGCUACGCAAGAGCACUCUAGCAGGACUGCCGUUGACAAAACGGAGGAAGGUGGGGAUGACGUCAAAUCAUCAUGCCCCUUAUGACUUGGGCCUCACACGUACUACAAUGGCUGUCAACAGAGGGAAGCGAAGCGGUGACGCGGAGCAAAACCCCAAAAGCAGUCUUAGUUCGGAUUGUAGGCUGCAACCCGCCUACAUGAAGUCGGAAUUGCUAGUAAUCGCGGAUCAGCAUGCCGCGGUGAAUACGUUCCCGGGCCUUGUACACACCGCCCGUCACACCAUGGGAGUUGGUAACACCCGAAGUCAGUAGCCUAACCGCAAGGAGGGCGCUGCCGAAG
This 1393-nucleotide ribosomal RNA is filed under the name uncultured bacterium. RNAcentral's name for it is "16S ribosomal RNA". It matches the Rfam family "Bacterial small subunit ribosomal RNA". The record is from RNAcentral.